Thunnus maccoyii (southern bluefin tuna) is the source of this 793-nucleotide long non-coding RNA. RefSeq lists it as uncharacterized. The record is from RefSeq and is a predicted model, not a curated record. NCBI's taxonomy places the organism in Eukaryota, Metazoa, Chordata, Actinopteri, Scombriformes, Scombridae. The transcript has 3 exons.
ACCCAAUAUAACAACGACCAAAAAAGACAUUAACUGAACAAACUGACCUAAUACAAUGACACAAGGAAACAUAUAUAGUGGCUUGACCAAACCAAAUAACAUAAAAAAGGGUUGACAAUAUGGACACCAUAAAUACAAAGCAAAACUAACUAAACCCAAAUCCCCCCUAUGACAUGGCAGCACAUGGUUCGACCUGAUGAGGCGGCUCCAGUAUUUAAAAGUCCACAGCUUUCAGGCACACCUUUUGCUCCACCAGGAAAGGACGUCCCCCAACAACCAUGACUGAAUUGAGCAGCGGGCUGGUUUGAUGGUACAGAGCAGCGAGGUAGCUGGACGGGCAGCCGAUCUGUCCCCGGGGAUGACGAGCUGGUCAGCAGGGUAGGAGCUGUUCUGGUGCCAGUGUUCAGCUCCAAUUUGUGUACUUCUUACUGCAGCACAGUCUUGACCGAGGGCCUUUGGAAUCAGUCCCACUCAGAAACGAUUUACUAUGGGCAGGCAGGACUGUCAGAUAGGGGGCAGGACACACGGGGGCUUGUGCAUGACUUUGAGGACACAAUGGGUUCAUGAAGGAGUGAUAAUGUUUGGGGGGGAGGUAAUGCAAUCCAAUACUACAUUAGCAAAACUGCAGCCCCCGCAAUUUCCAUGGACUUAAAUCAACACCUCUCUGACACAGUCCCAACCAAAAUCCAACCCUUUAAGCUUCACAAAGCUAGUUUUUUUUGCAGGACUGUUGUUUUUGAUUGCAUUAAACUGACAUCUGCUGUGACUGUGUAGCUCAUAUGUGAAUAUUCAA